Long non-coding RNA from Zingiber officinale, 1369 nucleotides. RefSeq lists it as uncharacterized. NCBI's taxonomy places the organism in Eukaryota, Viridiplantae, Streptophyta, Magnoliopsida, Zingiberales, Zingiberaceae. The record is from RefSeq and is a predicted model, not a curated record. The transcript has 5 exons.
CGCACCCACCUAUCUUACGAAAACCUCCCGAACCCCUCUCACGACUUCUCAUCUCUCGCCUUCUCCAUCCAACUCCUCCUCUCACGCCCUCUCCGUCCAACUUCUCUCCGGAAAACCCCUCUCUGGCGAACCCCUCUCUGUAAACCUCCCCUCCGAAGUCCUCUCCGUCAACAAGAAGAGGAGCUCCAGGAUGCUCAACACGAAGAGGAGCUACGCGCAGUACCAUCUCGAAUUAGGGCAGUCGGACUUCCUCCUCCGCUCCUGCUCCGUCUGCGGGAUGAUGUACGCCCCCGGGGACGAGUCAGACGAGAAGCUCCACGGGGAUUUCCAUAAGAAGUACUACGAAGGAAUUCGGUUCAAGGGCUGGCGCGAUGAGAGAGUUGUCUCGACGCCCAGCGGAGGCAAUUGCCGCAUCCUAUUGGUUCUCGACGGUGACUCCCCAUCGCACAAGCACAAGGUUAAGGAGGUGCUUACGAUCAUGGAGAAGGAACUUGGGUUCCAAAUAGUUCUCUGAGACGUUGCUUUGUUUAAUAAGGCUGCAUAUAAUAUUGGAGGGCAAGUCAUUACUGCCAACUGCAUUGAGUACUCCAUUUUGGGUUGUCGGACAUCUCGGAUGGGUCGUGUAUGAUCUUAAUUUGUAUGAUUAGAAAUUCAAUAUUCUUUAUCAUCAACUUCGUCGUGCCAAUAACUUCUAACUGUCGUUAUUGAUCUAAUCUGAAAUUGUAUGUUUGGUCUGAUCACUCAUUAGCCACAUCACUGUCUUCUCUCUUCAUCAGUGGCUUGAAACUAUACUCUCAAAUGCUACAAGGAAGAAAUCUGGGGAAGACAAGCAGCUUAUCUGGUCCAAAAUGGGUCUCCCUAGUUGCCAUCCCCUUGUUUUCUUUGCAAUCUGCACCGGAGCUUCCUCGGACCCCAUUCUAAGAGUCUACAGUGCCAAGAAUGUGACAGAGGAGCUGGAGAAAGCCAAGAAGGAAUUCCUUCGAUCCCACGUUGUGGUCAAGAAAUCUAACAAAGUUUUUCUGCCAAAAGUCCUCGAUAGAUACGCAAAAGAGAUAUGCACCAACUGUGACAAUUCUACAAGCUUUAAUAGACAUGCAAGCUUUAAGUCUAUCAAGCAUGUUAAACUAAAAAUUCUACAAGCUUUUCUUAGGAAGUUGGCAAUUUUCCACUAUUGGUUAAACUCAUAUUCUAAAGAACGUUUCAUUUUAGCUUUCUUUCUGCAAAUACUGUAUGCAUUUUAGAAUGAAGAAAUAUUGUAUUGUAUGCAUUUUACUAGCUUCUCAUGUAAAUACUAAUAUUACUUCAAUGUCAGAAUUCUAUUAUUUUGAUAUGAGUUUGAAAUCAUUAGCUGAGUUGAUUAUAUGUAAAA